This 484-nucleotide ribosomal RNA is filed under the name uncultured bacterium. RNAcentral describes it as "partial 16S ribosomal RNA". It matches the Rfam family "Bacterial small subunit ribosomal RNA", at positions 28 to 523 of the family's 1533-position model. The record is from RNAcentral.
GACGAACGCUGGCGGCGUGCUUAACACAUGCAAGUCGAACGAUGAACCCGGAGCUUGCUCCGGUGGAUUAGUGGCGAACGGGUGAGUAACACGUGAGUAACAUGCCCUUGACUCUGGGAUAACUGCGGGAAACUGUAGCUAAUACCGGAUACGACCCUCGGCGGCAUCGCCAGUGGGUGGAAAGAACUGCGGUCAAGGAUGGACUCGUGGCAUAGCCGCGACUUGGCGAGGUAACGGCUCACCAAGGCGACGACGGGCAGCCGGCCGGAGAGGGUGAACGGCCACACUGGGACUGAGACACGGCCCAGACUCCUACGGGAGGCAGCAGUGGGGAAUAUUGCGCAAUGGACGAAAGUCUGACGCAGCGACGCCUCGUGAGGGACGAAGGUCUUCGGAUUGUAAACCUCUUUCAGCAGGGACGAAGCGAAAGUGACGGUACCUGCAGAAGAAGCACCGGCUAACUAUGUGCCAGCAGCCGCCGUAA